Molecule: long non-coding RNA, 1452 nt
Organism: Corticium candelabrum
Lineage: Eukaryota; Metazoa; Porifera; Homoscleromorpha; Homosclerophorida; Plakinidae
Exons: 2
Source: RefSeq, a predicted model, not a curated record
ACGACACGUAAACAAGCGGAUGACACAAGUGUGAUCCAUCGUACAGUCAUGCGUAUGAUGGAUCCUCUCCUUGAUCAGGGGUACACUGUUUACACAGAUCAAUUCUACACUUCAGGACCUCUGUUCAAGGAGCUUUACAAUCGGGGUACGAUGGCUUGUGGUACAGUCCAGAAAAACAGGAAGGGUGUUCCUCCAGAAAUGAAAACACCAAGAGUCUUUGGCAAAUCACCACGGGUUCAUUUCGCUAUCACCGCGAUGAAGAGCUAUUAGUUAUUCAGUGGGUGGAUCGAAGCGUGGUGACCGUCAUGAGCACCCUUCAUUCUGGACACCGUUAUACUCCCUGCGACAGAUUUACCAAGGAUCGAGCAAAGUAUGACGGGCACCACAAGAUCACGAUUUCCAGACCUGAGGCUAUCGGCGACUAUAAUGUGCACAUGGGCGGAGUAGACAAAUCGGAUCAGAUGAUCAAGUACUACGAAGUCCUGCACAAGAGCCUCAAGUACUGGAAGAAGAUCUUUCUGCACAUGAUUGACUUAGCCGUAUUCAACAGCUACAUCAUGUUUACUGCCCUUCAAAAAACAACAUCCUCAAGAUCCACUUCUCAAGAGGAAAGGGCAGUAUACGCAGAAAGUCUUCAGGUGUGAGCUCAUGCGAGGGUUGACUGGAAUCGACGUUGAUGAACCUGUACCACGAUAUUGUGAAACAAGCAAAAGGGUGGUACAGGUUCCGGCCUCAAGUCGAUGAUGAACACCAAAGAGACAUACAAGCACUGCAACAAACUAUUUUACAAAAUCAAAUGCAACAUCACCAAAACAUACAACAAAUGCAGCAACAAAUGCAUCAACAACAAAUGCAACAUCAACAAGACGUACAAACAUUACAACAACAUAUGCAUCAACAACAAAUGCAACAUCAACAAGACAUGCAACAACAACAACAAAUGCAUCAACAACAAAUGCAACAACAACAACAACAACAAUUGCAACAGCAGCAACAACAACAACAAUUGCAACAACAACAAUUGCAACAACAACAACAACAACAACAAUUGCAACAACAACAGCCAAACCCUCGGCAUAGCUCACACAUCCCGAUUGUAACAGAGCGGCUAGUACGUUGCAUUGUUUGCUACCAUGAAGGUAGAAAAAACAACCGAACACGUUAUCGGUGUCAACAAUGCAACGUACCCCUCUGUGUGUCAUCUGCUCAGAGACACUGCUUUGCAACUUACCAUGCGUGAAUGGAGGUGUUUUGUGAGCUUUCACUGUUGACUGUAAAUACAUUGUAUAUAUAUUUGCAUAUAUAUUUAUAUAUCUGUUUUAUAUUUAUUGUAUAUAUGACAAGUAGAUUUACUUUUUAGAUGACAUAUCACUAAAAAGUUUGUAUAUAGGGCAUAGAAAUUUUUACAGGUAUACAGAUAUAAUUGGAAUAGAUGUGUUGUGUUGAGUUGAA